Molecule: ribosomal RNA, 497 nt
Filed under: uncultured bacterium
Lineage: Bacteria
Description: partial 16S ribosomal RNA
Rfam family: Bacterial small subunit ribosomal RNA
Source: RNAcentral
GAUGAACGCUGGCGGCGUGCCUAAUACAUGCAAGUCGAGCGAACAGAUAAGGAGCUUGCUCCUUUGACGUUAGCGGCGUACGGGUGAGUAACACGUGGAUAACCUACCUAUAAGACUGGGAUAACUUCGGGAAACCGGAGCUAAUACCGGAUAACAUAUUGAACCGCAUGGUUCAAUAGUGAAAGGCGGCUUUGCUGUCACUUAUAGAUGGAUCCGCGCCGUAUUAGCUAGUUGGUAAGGUAACGGCUUACCAAGGCAACGAUACGUAGCCGACCUGAGAGGGUGAUCGGCCACACUGGAACUGAGACACGGUCCAGACUCCUACGGGAGGCAGCAGUAGGGAAUCUUCCGCAAAGGGCGAAAGCCUGACGGAGCAACGCCGCGUGAGUGAUGAAGGUCUUCGGAUCGUAAAACUCUGUUAUCAGGGAAGAACAAAUGUGUAAGUAACUGUGCACAUCUUGACGGUACCUGAUCAGAAAGCCACGGCUAACUACGUG